This 282-nucleotide unclassified non-coding RNA is filed under the name fungal sp. RNAcentral's name for it is "partial internal transcribed spacer region". The stretch from base 1 to 46 matches the Rfam family "Eukaryotic small subunit ribosomal RNA", at positions 1786 to 1831 of the family's 1831-position model. The record is from RNAcentral. Lineage: Eukaryota; Fungi.
AAGUCGUAACAAGGUUUCCGUAGGUGAACCUGCGGAAGGAUCAUUAACAAAUCAUUGUGCUGUUUGGCUGGUGUCAAAGCCAGUCAUCCUAGCAACAUUAACCCGAACCUGUGCAGCAAUGCCAGGCUAGGUGUGGGACAAGGUGGAGGCAACUCUACGGCGUCCCGCGGUGACGGAUGAAGCCUCGGCUUAGUCUCGAUCCACAUAUACGCUUUUUUUGUUUGACAGUUUUAGUGACACAUUUUAAAAUGACAACUUUUAACAAUGGAUCUCUUGGCUCUU